UUGCCGAAGUUACUACAGCCUACAGUUUGCUAGCUAGCAAAGUCAUCGACUACCGUUGUUUAACAAGCUUUAUGGAAAAGAACAUUGUGACAUACAACAUGCAUGAAUUGGUUUGGUGCACCUCAGACAAGAUGCCAAAAAGUAUGAUGUCCUUGAUAACAUCUCAUGCUUCCCAUUUGAAAACUUCAUUGAGUGCUUGAAUAAACAAUAGGAGAAAGUCAUCGCUCAGUUAUUGCCCCUUGGACUCCCCUGGCACCUCGUGUACAGCAUGAAGUUUUCUGCUACGAAGAUUUCCAGAGACUCCAGAAUGAAAAACAAGCCCUGAGUGAAAGCAAUGCACCAGCAGCUUCAGAUGACAGCGGCUCACUUCGAGAGCAGAUGAAGCAAGUUGGGACAAUGUUGAAGACGUUUGCUCGCACUGGGCAAUCAGGUGCAGAUCAGACCCCAAUGCUGCAAUGUCUUGUAGAGUUUGGCGAUGUUGUGCGUAGCAUGGACAACAAAAUGGACACUAUGCUGCAACAUUUUCAGUGCCAAUGUGUCUGUUGGAGAGUUAUCCCUGCCAGGGGAUCUGUUACUCCCCCUAGACACCCAGGAAGAUUCGGCGUUACUUGACAACAGUAUGAGGCAGGAUAAAGAGCUCCAGGAACGAUUUGGACCUAAAGACAACCGUGUGGCGAAUGCUUCAGAGUAUCUUCUCUAAUCACCUUUCCAUCAAUACAAUCUGGACUGGUGUAGGGGAUAAAGCAUGUUUUAGAGACAUGUUCCUGAAGACCAUUGUUCAAAGCGAUCCAGGUUAACGUUACGCAUUACCUGAAAGGAGCAUCUGACCGUGAAGGUGGAAAAAGGCGCCG
Long non-coding RNA from Rhinichthys klamathensis goyatoka, 851 nucleotides. RefSeq lists it as uncharacterized. The record is from RefSeq and is a predicted model, not a curated record. Lineage: Eukaryota; Metazoa; Chordata; Actinopteri; Cypriniformes; Leuciscidae. The transcript is spliced from 7 exons.